This 519-nucleotide ribosomal RNA is filed under the name uncultured eukaryote. Its description in RNAcentral is "SSU rRNA". It matches the Rfam family "Eukaryotic small subunit ribosomal RNA", at positions 1161 to 1704 of the family's 1831-position model. The record is from RNAcentral.
AGGGCACCACCAGGAGUGGAGCCUGCGGCUUAAUUUGACUCAACGCGGGAAAACUCACCCGGCCCGGACACCGUAAGGAUUGACAGACUGAGAGCUCUUUCUUAAUUCGGUGGGUGGUGGUGCAUGGCCGUUCUUAGUUGGUGGAGCGAUUUGUCUGGUUAAUUCCGAUAACGAACGAGACUCUGGCCUAUUAAAUAGACGAUAUAUUUAAAAGUAUAUCGCACUUCUUAGAGGGACAAGCGGCGUCUAGCCGCAUGAAAUAGAGCAAUAACAGGUCUGUGAUGCCCUUAGAUGUCCGGGGCUGCACGCGCGCUACACUGAAAGAAUCAGCGUGCGAUACGCCUGGUUCGGAAGAACCGGGUAACCCCAGCAAAUUCUUUCGUGCUUGGGAUAGGGAAUUGCAAUUAUUUCCCUUAAACGAGGAAUUCCCAGUAAAUGCGGGUCAUAAGCUCGCGUUGAUUACGUCCCUGCCCUUUGUACACACCGCCCGUCGCUACUACCGAUUGGAUGACUUAUUGA